UCACAUUCAUAAUGCUCAUAAGUUAAUAAUUAGUAAUUUAUUAUAAUUUUAAAGUCAAUGACACUUUUACUGAGGGAAAUUUACGAAUUCCCAUACAUAAAUUUCGUCACUAAAUUCAGGAUAUAACAGUUAAAAUGUGAAAUUUAUGUUGUACUAAUUCACCUAACUCUUUUAUUUAUUGGUUCAAGUUAAUAAACCAAUGUCAGCUAUACACUUUGAAAUUGUACUAAUAUAUCAAUGGUGUACUAGUUCACAAACUCAUUCAAAUUAUAAAACCAAUGUGAGCUAUUGAGUUAACCAAUUAUACUAGUUUGUUAAGGAUUUUUUAUACAAGGGUUGUCCUAGUUCAAUUGAUUUCAGCAGUACAUGAUGUCUCACUAAUGGGUACUAGUUCAUACGCAAAUCACUAUAUGCGACCAAAGAAAUUGAUAUAUUGAAAAAUAAAAGUAUACAUAACUAGUCUAGUACCGUUACAACAAUGGCAUUGUAUCAGCCACCAUAUCAUAUUACAAAAUUCCGUCGUAUACUAGUGCAUCGAACAAAUCCAAUCUAACCCACAAAUAAUAUAAUAACAAAUUUUAUCCUGUGCUAGUGCACCCAAAAACUAGAUCUGAAUUUGAUGUCAUUCCCGAUAGUAAUAUAUUUGACGAUGUUGGAGCUACUUGAGUGAAUGGUAGGAAAGCAAGAUUGAUCUUGGACACAUGAGGCUGACGGUUGGUCGAUUUAUCACAAUCUGAACAUGAGAAGAGGGAAAACGAACUGAAGAGGUUGGAAACAACGUGAGGGAAGAAUAUGAAAUCCGAUCUCGAUGUGGAUAAGAGAUUUGAUUCUGAGCUUACUUGACGAGAAUGGAAGACCCGAUAGACGAGGCAUGUCAGAAGAUGGAUCAAUGGUCAUGGCGGUGAUGGCAGCUGAAAGUCUCAAUGGAGAGCAAAGUGAUGGCAGGGGUUUCGCCGACGAGGAGAAGGAUGGACUAACGAUGGCGGCAUGAAAGAGAGAGGUAUGGUGAUGAAUAGAGAAUUUUUUCAUGUGGCGACUACUUUCGGUGGAAUGAAUAAGUAAAGUUUUGAUAAGGAUAUAAAUAUUUGUAUUGCAACGGAUCUACUCCUAGUGAUAGAGUCAAUCAAAUAUAAGGAGCAAAAAAGUAAAGACACCAGAUUUGUUUAUGCUAUUCAAAGAGUAAACUCGCCUAAUCAGCGAAGUCUCAGAGAGGGAAUGGUGUGCCCAAAGAUGC
RNAcentral lists this long non-coding RNA (1234 nucleotides) under Linum usitatissimum (flax). RNAcentral's name for it is "long non-coding RNA (LUSI_LNC002940)". Lineage: Eukaryota; Viridiplantae; Streptophyta; Magnoliopsida; Malpighiales; Linaceae. The record is from RNAcentral.